RNAcentral lists this ribosomal RNA (344 nucleotides) under uncultured Coprococcus sp. RNAcentral's name for it is "partial 16S ribosomal RNA". Lineage: Bacteria; Bacillati; Bacillota; Clostridia; Lachnospirales; Lachnospiraceae. The record is from RNAcentral.
GGAGUUUGGGCCGUGUCUCAGUCCCAAUGUGGCCGUACACCCUCUCAGGCCGGCUACUGAUCGUCGCCUUGGUGGGCCGUUACCUCACCAACUAGCUAAUCAGACGCGGGUCCAUCCUAUACCACCGGAGUUUUUCACACUGCAACAUGCGAUGCUGUGUGCUUAUGCGGUAUUAUCAGUCGUUUCCAACUGCUAUCCCCCAGUAUAGGGCAGGUUACCCACGCGUUACUCACCCGUCCGCCACUAAGUGAUUCAAUUGAGUCAUUCUGAAGCAAGCUUCAUCACUUCUCGGGAGAACCACUCCGUUCGACUUGCAUGUGUUAAGCACGCCGCCAGCGUUUAUC